RNAcentral lists this ribosomal RNA (253 nucleotides) under uncultured bacterium. RNAcentral describes it as "partial 16S ribosomal RNA". It matches the Rfam family "Bacterial small subunit ribosomal RNA", at positions 524 to 776 of the family's 1533-position model. The record is from RNAcentral.
UACGUAGGGGGCAAGCGUUGUCCGGAUUUAUUGGGCGUAAAGCGCGUGUAGGUGGCCAUGUAGGUCCGCUGUGAAAACUUGAGGCUCAACCUCAAGCUGUCGGUGGAAACCACAUGGCUAGAGUCCGGAAGAGGAGAGUGGAAUUCCUGGUGUAGCGGCGAAAUGCGCAGAUAUCAGGAAGAACACCAAUGGCGAAGACAGCUCUCUGGGACGGUACUGACACUGAGACGCGAAAGCGUGGGGAGCGAACAGG